This 955-nucleotide ribosomal RNA is filed under the name Enterococcus faecium. Its description in RNAcentral is "bacterial SSU rRNA". It matches the Rfam family "Bacterial small subunit ribosomal RNA", at positions 8 to 933 of the family's 1533-position model. Lineage: Bacteria; Bacillati; Bacillota; Bacilli; Lactobacillales; Enterococcaceae. The record is from RNAcentral.
AGAGUUUGAUCCUGGCUCAGGACGAACGCUGGCGGCGUGCCUAAUACAUGCAAGUCGAACGCUUCUUUUUCCACCGGAGCUUGCUCCACCGGAAAAAGAAGAGUGGCGAACGGGUGAGUAACACGUGGGUAACCUGCCCAUCAGAAGGGGAUAACACUUGGAAACAGGUGCUAAUACCGUAUAACAAUCAAAACCGCAUGGUUUUGAUUUGAAAGGCGCUUUCGGGUGUCGCUGAUGGAUGGACCCGCGGUGCAUUAGCUAGUUGGUGAGGUAACGGCUCACCAAGGCCACGAUGCAUAGCCGACCUGAGAGGGUGAUCGGCCACAUUGGGACUGAGACACGGCCCAAACUCCUACGGGAGGCAGCAGUAGGGAAUCUUCGGCAAUGGACGAAAGUCUGACCGAGCAACGCCGCGUGAGUGAAGAAGGUUUUCGGAUCGUAAAACUCUGUUGUUAGAGAAGAACAAGGAUGAGAGUAACUGUUCAUCCCUUGACGGUAUCUAACCAGAAAGCCACGGCUAACUACGUGCCAGCAGCCGCGGUAAUACGUAGGUGGCAAGCGUUGUCCGGAUUUAUUGGGCGUAAAGCGAGCGCAGGUGGUUUCUUAAGUCUGAUGUGAAAGCCCCCGGCUCAACCGGGGAGGGUCAUUGGAAACUGGGAGACUUGAGUGCAGAAGAGGAGAGUGGAAUUCCAUGUGUAGCGGUGAAAUGCGUAGAUAUAUGGAGGAACACCAGUGGCGAAGGCGGCUCUCUGGUCUGUAACUGACGCUGAGGCUCGAAAGCGUGGGGAGCAAACAGGAUUAGAUACCCUGGUAGUCCACGCCGUAAACGAUGAGUGCUAAGUGGUGGAGGGUUUCCGCCCUUCAGUGCUGCAGCUAACGCAUUAAGCACUCCGCCUGGGGAGUACGACCGCAAGGUUGAAACUCAAAGGAAUUGACGGGGGCCCGCACAAGCGGU